This 596-nucleotide ribosomal RNA is filed under the name uncultured Fragilariaceae. Its description in RNAcentral is "partial Eukaryotic small subunit ribosomal RNA". It matches the Rfam family "Eukaryotic small subunit ribosomal RNA", at positions 1212 to 1830 of the family's 1831-position model. Lineage: Eukaryota; Bacillariophyta; Fragilariophyceae; Fragilariales; Fragilariaceae. The record is from RNAcentral.
AACUUACCAGGUCCAGACAUAGUAAGGAUUGACAGAUUGAAGAUCUUUCUUGAUUCUAUGGUUGGUGGUGCAUGGCCGUUCUUAGUUGGUGGAGUGAUUUGUCUGGUUAAUUCCGUUAACGAACGAGACCCCUGCCUGCUAAAUAGUUGAGCGAAUGAAUGUUCAUUGGCUACAGCUUCUUAGAGGGACGUGCGUUCUAUUAGACGCAGGAAGAUAGGGGCAAUAACAGGUCUGUGAUGCCCUUAGAUGUCCUGGGCCGCACGCGCGUUACACUGAUGCACUCAACGAGUCUACCUUGGCCGAGAGGCCUGGGAAAUCUUGUUAACAUGCAUCGUGAUAGGGAUAGAUUAUUGCAAUUAUUAAUCUUGAACGAGGAAUUCCUAGUAAACGCAGAUCAUCAAUCUGCAUUGAUUACGUCCCUGCCCUUUGUACACACCGCCCGUCGCACCUACCGAUUGAACGUUCCGGUGAGACCUUCGGAGGGCACGAUGUUCCUGGCGACAGGACGUGGUGGCCAAAGUUGAGCAAACCUUAACGUUUAGAGGAAGGUGAAGUCGUAACAAGGUUUCCGUAGGUGAACCUGCGGAAGGAUCAUU